AGGUCUUAUGUCUGCCAGUGGUUACUUGACAUGGACCUCAUCAAACUCUUUGUUGUCCUACUAGUCUACCUUUAUCAUCAGAUCCCAAUAAUAAAUAGUCUGCGAACACCUGAUUGAGUCUUCAAGCAGAGAUUACGACAACACCUGCUCAAAGUUCCAGUUUCAUGAACAUCGCACCAUGUCUGUAUGAGACUCUGUCCCCGUCUUCAGUCAAGUCUGGACCCAAUGACUCCGACACCAGUCUUGUCAAGGCUAAUUAGAGAGAGGAUCAUGUCAGUACACAAUGAACACCUGGUGGACAACAUGCGAGUCCUCAAGCAGGACCUGUGAAAAUACACGCUUUCAGUUCCACUUUCUUGAACAUCAUGUGUGUGAGACUAUUCCAUGUUGAGUGACCUCUGCACUCAGGUCUGGACUCAGGAAGUCAUUACUCUUGAUCAACGCAGGGCAAGUGGCUAAUUAUUUCAUGUUUUUUCAUUCCACCAUGGAUUAUUCUUCAUAUGGACACAUGCUGGUUUUUCAAGAUCUCAAUACUGCUUUGUGAGUACACUGGACAAGUUAUUGGAUCAGUUCAAUCUGUUUUUCACAGAGAAUGUGUAAAUGCAAAAGCAGUUUCUCAAAGUUUAUCAACACAAGGCUAUA
This is a long non-coding RNA of Cololabis saira (Pacific saury), 642 nucleotides long. RefSeq lists it as uncharacterized. The record is from RefSeq and is a predicted model, not a curated record. The transcript has 3 exons. Lineage: Eukaryota; Metazoa; Chordata; Actinopteri; Beloniformes; Belonidae.